This 364-nucleotide transfer-messenger RNA is filed under the name Enterobacteriaceae (enterobacteria). RNAcentral's name for it is "Mixta sp023517775 Standard tmRNA". It matches the Rfam family "transfer-messenger RNA". Rfam says of the family: Bacterial tmRNA, also known as 10Sa RNA or SsrA, is named for its dual tRNA and mRNA-like properties. Its role is to liberate the mRNA from a stalled ribosome. RNAcentral also lists the same sequence under 3 other names. Lineage: Bacteria; Pseudomonadati; Pseudomonadota; Gammaproteobacteria; Enterobacterales. The record is from RNAcentral.
GGGGCUGAUUCUGGAUUCGACGGGAUUCGCGAAACCCAAGGUGCAUGCCGAGGGGCGGUUGGCCUCGUUAAAAGCCGCAAAAAAAUAGUCGCAAACGACGAAAACUACGCACUAGCAGCUUAAUAACCUGCUUAGAGCCCUCUCUCCCUAGCCUCCGCUCUUAGGACGGGGAUCAAGAGAGGUCAAACCCAAAAGAGAUCGCGUGGAUGCCCUGCCUGGGGUUGAAGCGUUAAAACUAAUCAGGCUAGUUUGUUAGUGGCGUGUCCGUUCGCAGCUAACAAGCGAAUGUAAAGACUGGACUAAGCAUGUAGUACCGAGGAUGUAGGAAUUUCGGACGCGGGUUCAACUCCCGCCAGCUCCACCA